This 484-nucleotide ribosomal RNA is filed under the name actinobacterium dtb52. RNAcentral's name for it is "bacterial SSU rRNA". It matches the Rfam family "Bacterial small subunit ribosomal RNA", at positions 9 to 501 of the family's 1533-position model. Lineage: Bacteria; Bacillati; Actinomycetota; Actinomycetes. The record is from RNAcentral.
GAGUUUGAUCCUGGCUCAGGACGAACGCUGGCGGCGUGCUUAACACAUGCAAGUCGAACGAUGAACCUGGAGCUUGCUCUGGGGGAUUAGUGGCGAACGGGUGAGUAACACGUGAGUAACCUGCCCUGGACUCUGGGAUAAGCGUUGGAAACGACGUCUAAUACCGGAUAGGACCUCGGAUCGCAUGAUCUGGGGUGGAAAGUUUUUCGGUCUGGGAUGGACUCGCGGCCUAUCAGCUUGUUGGUGAGGUAAUGGCUCACCAAGGCGUCGACGGGUAGCCGGCCUGAGAGGGUGACCGGCCACACUGGGACUGAGACACGGCCCAGACUCCUACGGGAGGCAGCAGUGGGGAAUAUUGCACAAUGGGCGCAAGCCUGAUGCAGCAACGCCGCGUGCGGGAUGACGGCCUUCGGGUUGUAAACCGCUUUUAGUAGGGAAGAAGGGCUUCGGCUUGACGGUACCUGCAGAAAAAGGACCGGCUAAC